CAAAUACUCCCUCUUCCGAAAAUACUUGUCAUCAAAAUGGAUAAAAGGAAAUGUAUCUAGAUGUAUUUUAGUUUUAGGUACAUCUAUUUUUAUCCAUUUUGAUCACAAGUAUUUUCGGACGGAGGGAGUAGAAA
Non-coding RNA from Triticum aestivum (bread wheat), 134 nucleotides. NCBI's taxonomy places the organism in Eukaryota, Viridiplantae, Streptophyta, Magnoliopsida, Poales, Poaceae. The record is from Rfam.